UCCUGCCAGUAGUCAUAUGCUUGUCUCAAAGAUUAAGCCAUGCAUGUCUAAGUCCAAGCUGUGUUCACACGGCGAGACCGCGGACGGCUCAUUAAAUCAGUCGUGGUCCAAAUGGGCCAGUGCAAAUCCUACUUGGAUAACUGUGGUAAUUCCAGAGCUAAUACAUGCAACUGAUAUCCCGAAGGCGGUGUUGGGGCUUGCUUGCCUUGCGCUGCGCUGCUCUGACGGAUGCUUUUAUUAGACCAAGCCGCUGAGGACUUGAGGGUUCGCGCUCUCUUGUUUGACUCGUGUGAUGGUGACUCUGGAUAACCAAAUUCUGACAAGCGCACGUACUUCUCUUCUGAGCGAGACGGCGCUGCCACUUUCGAGUGUCUGCCUUAUCAGCUAUCAACCGUUCGUUAUGCGCGACCGAUGGCUUUGACGGGUAACGGGGAAUCAGGGUUCGAUUCCGGAGAGGCAGCCUGAGAGACGGCUACCACGUCCAAGGACGGCAGCAGGCACGCAAAUUACCCAAUCCCAGCAAAUGGGGGAGGUAGUGACGAAAUCUAACGAUGCGGGCGCCCUUUCUGGGGCCCCGCAAUCGGAAUGGGCACUUUCUAAACAACCUGUUGAGAACCUACUGAAGGGCAAGUCUGGU
RNAcentral lists this ribosomal RNA (637 nucleotides) under Eulimnogammarus verrucosus. RNAcentral's name for it is "SSU rRNA". It matches the Rfam family "Eukaryotic small subunit ribosomal RNA", at positions 12 to 565 of the family's 1831-position model. The record is from RNAcentral. Lineage: Eukaryota; Metazoa; Arthropoda; Malacostraca; Amphipoda; Eulimnogammaridae.